GUCGGCGCUCAUGAAGGCGAUGAGCUCUGCAAAAGCCACCACAAUACUCAGGAGGGUCCAGAGCAUCGAGCGACAGUCGUCCCUUCCCGUGCUCUCGCACUGCGCUGGUUCCCUUAUCGCCGGGCAGCACAACUCCAGGCCAGUGCCCGUUCCCGCACCCACCCCAGGCGCACCCUUUGGCACAGGAGCUCAUGCCCGAGCUGCUGCACCCUUGGGAUGUGUGGCUCCUGCUCCAUCAUCUCUCACUCGAAAACGUCAAACGGCAGGGAGAUCCAGCAACAACUAGAUGGGACUUCCAGUCAACCUUGCCAACAGACUGGCUAUGUUUUUUAAGAGCUUACGGGACCCUCUGCCUGCUGUCUUGGGUGAUUUCUGGACCAAAAAAACUACACUAAUUAAAACUCAAGAAGAGGAAAAGAAAACCUUGAAGAGUUCAUGACUUAGUCAUUUGGGGAAAUUAUUCAAAACAGAGGCAUGAAUGACCACUGACUAAGUGUCAUUACCACUGAGUGGACUUGUUGACAACAGAAACUUGCGUAUGAAGAAUGUGUUCCUUGAACUGUCCCGAUUCAUCCCAUGCGCCUCUGCCUGAGCUUUGAUUCACCCCAGGUCUGCAACUCAACAUGCCCAUUGUUUCUGGUCUCACAAGGGCUCAUUCUGUUCCCAGGGACAAAUGGCUUCAUAACCAGAGGGCUUUGCUCUAACAGCUCAAAUCUCUUUCAGAGGGGCCUGAACCCUGAAACAGGGGUACAGUGCUCAUCGGCAGCCCCAUCUGCUACCCCUUCUCCAAGGUCAGAAAGAAUCGCACAGUUCACAUCUGACAUCUGGGUGCAAGGCUCUGUUCUGAGUGAUGACAUCUUAUUAACUGAGGUCACGUCAACUGCACAAGAACCACAAAGAGCCCUCUGGCAUGCUGGCAGUGGGGUGGGGCCAGGAGAUGUUGAAGAGGAAGGCAAGUGGGGAAAGAAGGAAGCCCAGAGUCAAAGCUUCAAAGCUUCUACACCAUGCUGGUUGACAAGGUGUAGCGAC
This is a non-coding RNA of Puma concolor (puma), 1029 nucleotides long. The record is from RefSeq and is a predicted model, not a curated record. NCBI's taxonomy places the organism in Eukaryota, Metazoa, Chordata, Mammalia, Carnivora, Felidae.